Molecule: ribosomal RNA, 253 nt
Filed under: uncultured bacterium
Lineage: Bacteria
Description: partial 16S ribosomal RNA
Rfam family: Bacterial small subunit ribosomal RNA
Source: RNAcentral
UACGUAGGGCGCAAGCGUUAUCCGGAAUUAUUGGGCGUAAAGAGCUCGUAGGCGGCUCGUUGCGUCAACCGUGAAAACCCGGGGCUCAACCCCGGGCCUGCAGUCGAUACGGGCAGACUAGAGUGUGGUAGGGGAGACUGGAAUUCCUGGUGUAGCGGUGGAAUGCGCAGAUAUCAGGAGGAACACCAAUGGCGAAGGCAGGUCUCUGGGCCACAACUGACGCUGAGGAGCGAAAGCGUGGGGAGCGAACAGG